GCCUGGGUGGCUCAGUCAGUUAAGCAUCCGACUUUGGCUCAGGUCAUGACCUCACUGUUUGUGGGUUUGAGCCCCGUUUCAGGCU
RNAcentral lists this transfer RNA (85 nucleotides) under Felis catus (domestic cat). It matches the Rfam family "tRNA". From Rfam's summary of the family: Transfer RNA (tRNA) molecules are approximately 80 nucleotides in length. Their secondary structure includes four short double-helical elements and three loops (D, anti-codon, and T loops). Further hydrogen bonds mediate the characteristic L-shaped molecular structure. tRNAs have two regions of fundamental functional importance: the anti-codon, which is responsible for specific mRNA codon recognition, and the 3' end, to which the tRNAs corresponding amino acid is attached (by aminoacyl-tRNA synthetases). tRNAs cope with the degeneracy of the genetic code in two manners: having more than one tRNA (with a specific anti-codon) for a particular amino acid; and 'wobble' base-pairing, i.e. permitting non-standard base-pairing at the 3rd anti-codon position. RNAcentral also lists the same sequence under 4 other names. The record is from Rfam by way of RNAcentral. Lineage: Eukaryota; Metazoa; Chordata; Mammalia; Carnivora; Felidae.